GUGCAAUCUAUUUUGAUGGUAUGAUUAUUAUUAUUUGAAUUUCAGGGACGAGAUCCACGCAUCAAAGCUGGGAAUCCUGAUAUAAGCCACAGAGAGGCCUUUAGUGCAGCUGCAAAGAAUUGGGCCCAUUUCCCUCACAUACACUUCGGACUUAUGCCUGAUCAUCAACCCGUGAAGAAACUAACGUGCGCCAGGAAGGAGAAGACGUGCUUAUGAAAGAAGGGUUUUUGGGUCCCACAAACGUAGUAUAUCGCCCUUUUAAUUAAUUAAGCAAGGAUCUGUGAUAAUAAUAUUGUUAGGGUUUCUGCUUGUUGGUCUGUGAAGAUAUACAAUAAUCUUCUGCGUGCUCCUUAUAAGUACGUUCGUAAUAGCUAGCUCUUCCUCUUGUGUUAUGUCGUCGUUAAUUGCAUGUUGCUUUAAUUAGUGUUACAUUAUAAGUUUAUGCGCAAAUGAAGAGGAUGGAUUCUGGUCAUGUGAAGCUUAAUUAGUGUAGUUUGUUUUGAACAUCGAUGAAA
Prosopis cineraria is the source of this 515-nucleotide long non-coding RNA. RefSeq lists it as uncharacterized. The record is from RefSeq and is a predicted model, not a curated record. The transcript is spliced from 3 exons. NCBI's taxonomy places the organism in Eukaryota, Viridiplantae, Streptophyta, Magnoliopsida, Fabales, Fabaceae.